UAAUUUUGAUGUGGCUGUGGGAAG
Molecule: microRNA, 24 nt
Filed under: Eptesicus fuscus (big brown bat)
Lineage: Eukaryota; Metazoa; Chordata; Mammalia; Chiroptera; Vespertilionidae
Description: efu-miR-9235b
Source: miRBase by way of RNAcentral